RNAcentral lists this long non-coding RNA (279 nucleotides) under Vigna radiata. RNAcentral's name for it is "long non-coding RNA (VRAD_LNC008665)". The record is from RNAcentral. Lineage: Eukaryota; Viridiplantae; Streptophyta; Magnoliopsida; Fabales; Fabaceae.
AGGGGAGGACUUAGACUCAAGAAAGGAUGAGAAAAGAUAUAAAAGAAGGGUAAGGUCCACCGCCCAGCGCCAAUUCCAACGCCGAGCGCCAGCUUCGAGGAGGAAGCCACUGUUUGACGCCUGAGCGGUGACGCUAAGUGUCCUACGAUUAUGAGACCCAACGCUGAGCACCAGGUUCCACCGCUGAGCGUCAGGUUCCACCGCUGAGCGUCCUGUGAUUAUAGGGGCUACCACUGAGCAGUCAAAUGAACGCUAAGCGCCUAAUGAUGGGCCUGGGCC